This 71-nucleotide transfer RNA is filed under the name Marmota monax (woodchuck). RNAcentral's name for it is "tRNA.Ala". It matches the Rfam family "tRNA". Rfam says of the family: Transfer RNA (tRNA) molecules are approximately 80 nucleotides in length. Their secondary structure includes four short double-helical elements and three loops (D, anti-codon, and T loops). The record is from RNAcentral. Lineage: Eukaryota; Metazoa; Chordata; Mammalia; Rodentia; Sciuridae.
GGGGUUGUGACUUAGUGGUAGAGCACUCAUCUAGCAUGUGUGAGGCCCUGGGUUCAAUUCUCAGCACCACA